This 75-nucleotide transfer RNA is filed under the name Candidatus Gottesmanbacteria bacterium RIFCSPLOWO2_01_FULL_48_11. RNAcentral's name for it is "tRNA-Asn". It matches the Rfam family "tRNA". From Rfam's summary of the family: Transfer RNA (tRNA) molecules are approximately 80 nucleotides in length. Their secondary structure includes four short double-helical elements and three loops (D, anti-codon, and T loops). Further hydrogen bonds mediate the characteristic L-shaped molecular structure. tRNAs have two regions of fundamental functional importance: the anti-codon, which is responsible for specific mRNA codon recognition, and the 3' end, to which the tRNAs corresponding amino acid is attached (by aminoacyl-tRNA synthetases). tRNAs cope with the degeneracy of the genetic code in two manners: having more than one tRNA (with a specific anti-codon) for a particular amino acid; and 'wobble' base-pairing, i.e. permitting non-standard base-pairing at the 3rd anti-codon position. The record is from RNAcentral. Lineage: Bacteria; Candidatus Gottesmaniibacteriota.
UCCCCUGUAGCUCAACGGUAGAGCGCCUCUCUGUUAAAGAGGAUGUUGCUGGUUCGAAUCCAGCCGGGGGAGCAA